This 215-nucleotide ribosomal RNA is filed under the name Glomeromycotina sp. Its description in RNAcentral is "partial small subunit ribosomal RNA". The stretch from base 40 to 215 matches the Rfam family "Eukaryotic small subunit ribosomal RNA", at positions 686 to 864 of the family's 1831-position model. The record is from RNAcentral. Lineage: Eukaryota; Fungi; Glomeromycota.
GGGUCAGUAGGUUGGUCGUGCCACCGGUACGUACUGGUCUCACUGAUUCCUCCUUCCUGAAGAGCCGUAAUGCCAUUAAUUUGGUGUUGCGGGGAAACAGGACUGUUACUUUGAAAAAUUAGAGUGUUUAAAGCAAGCUAACGCUUGAAUACAUUAGCAUGGAAUAAUGAAAUAGGACGAUCGAUCCUAUUUUGUUGGUUUCUAGGAUUGACGUA